UUUUGGGAGGUGCUGCACAAUUCGUAUGUGAAGGGUGGUUUGGCCUUGUCUGCUCUGAUGGGACCUGGAAGAGACUUACUUUUUGAUGGUAUAAGAGCCUUAGAAGGGAUCGCCAAACAUGAAUUCUCUUGUGGGAUUUGGGUCAGUUGCUGCAUUUAUCAUGAGUGCGAUCUCACUCCUUAACCCUGAGCUCAAAUGGGAUGCAAAUUUCUUUGAUGAACCG
Molecule: unclassified non-coding RNA, 223 nt
Filed under: Hevea brasiliensis (rubber tree)
Lineage: Eukaryota; Viridiplantae; Streptophyta; Magnoliopsida; Malpighiales; Euphorbiaceae
Source: RNAcentral